UACAGAGGUCCCGAGCGUUGUUCGGAUUCAUUGGGCGUAAAGGGUGCGUAGGCGGUCUGCUAAGUUUGAUGUGAAAUCCCGGGGCUCAACCCUGGAAUUGCAUUGAAUACUGGUGGACUAGAGUACUGGAGAGGAAACUGGAAUUUACGGUGUAGCAGUGAAAUGCGUAGAUAUCUGGAGGAACACCGGUGGCGAAGGCGGCAUCCUGGACCGGCAUUGACGCUGAGGCGCGAAAGCCAGGGGAGCAAACGGG
Molecule: ribosomal RNA, 253 nt
Filed under: uncultured bacterium
Lineage: Bacteria
Description: partial 16S ribosomal RNA
Rfam family: Bacterial small subunit ribosomal RNA
Source: RNAcentral